This 481-nucleotide ribosomal RNA is filed under the name uncultured bacterium. RNAcentral describes it as "partial 16S ribosomal RNA". It matches the Rfam family "Bacterial small subunit ribosomal RNA", at positions 28 to 507 of the family's 1533-position model. The record is from RNAcentral.
GAUGAACGCUGGCGGCGUGCUUAACACAUGCAAGUCGAACGAAGCACUUUAUUUGAUUUCCUUCGGGACUGAUUAUUUUGUGACUGAGUGGCGGACGGGUGAGUAACGCGUGGGUAACCUGCCUUGUACAGGGGGAUAACAGUUGGAAACGGCUGCUAAUACCGCAUAAGCGCACGGCAUCGCAUGAUGCAGUGUGAAAAACUCCGGUGGUAUAAGAUGGACCCGCGUUGGAUUAGCUAGGUGGUGAGGUAACGGCCCACCAAGGCGACGAUCCAUAGCCGACCUGAGAGGGUGACCGGCCACAUUGGGACUGAGACGCGGCCCAAACUCCUACGGGAGGCAGCAGUGGGGAAUAUUGCACAAUGGGCGAAAGCCUGAUGCAGCGACGCCGCGUGAGCGAAGAAGUAUUUCGGCAUGUAAAGCUCUAUCAGCAGGGAAGAUAAUGACGGUACCUGACGAAGAAGCACCGGCUAAAUACGUG